UACGGAGGGAGCUAGCGUUGUUCGGAAUUACUGGGCGUAAAGCGCACGUAGGCGGCUAUUCAAGUCGGGGGUGAAAGCCCGGGGCUCAACCCCGGAACUGCCCUCGAAACUAGGUAGCUAGAAUCUUGGAGAGGUCAGUGGAAUUCCGAGUGUAGAGGUGAAAUUCGUAGAUAUUCGGAAGAACACCAGUGGCGAAGGCGACUGACUGGACAAGUAUUGACGCUGAGGUGCGAAAGCGUGGGGAGCGAACAGG
RNAcentral lists this ribosomal RNA (253 nucleotides) under uncultured bacterium. RNAcentral describes it as "partial 16S ribosomal RNA". It matches the Rfam family "Bacterial small subunit ribosomal RNA", at positions 524 to 776 of the family's 1533-position model. The record is from RNAcentral.